RNAcentral lists this long non-coding RNA (211 nucleotides) under Sorghum bicolor (sorghum). Its description in RNAcentral is "long non-coding RNA (SBIC_LNC018490)". Lineage: Eukaryota; Viridiplantae; Streptophyta; Magnoliopsida; Poales; Poaceae. The record is from RNAcentral.
GGGGUGUUGUUUUGUUGUAAGUUUAGCCAUUGCUACUUCCUUGUAGACGCAUGUGUCGACUAGACCAUCCGUUCUACUUGAUUCAAAACCCAUAUUGUUAUCGUGAUUCAUAUCAGAUCCUUCUUGUAUUAUUUGGCAAUUGAGUGCCUGUUCUAUCUGUUCUUGCAUGUUCUUCGAUUGCGUGCAGGAAUUACCCUAGUGGUUUGGUUGG